Molecule: ribosomal RNA, 433 nt
Filed under: uncultured bacterium
Lineage: Bacteria
Description: partial 16S ribosomal RNA
Rfam family: Bacterial small subunit ribosomal RNA
Source: RNAcentral
AACGAACGCUGGCGGCAUGCCUAACACAUGCAAGUCGAACGAGACCUUCGGGUCUAGUGGCGCACGGGUGCGUAACGCGUGGGAAUCUGCCCUUGGGUUCGGAAUAACAGUUGGAAACGACUGCUAAUACCGGAUGAUGACGUAAGUCCAAAGAUUUAUCGCCCAGGGAUGAGCCCGCGUAGGAUUAGCUAGUUGGUGGGGCAAAGGCCUACCAAGGCGACGAUCCUUAGCUGGUCUGAGAGGAUGAUCAGCCACACUGGGACUGAGACACGGCCCAGACUCCUACGGGAGGCAGCAGUGGGGAAUAUUGGACAAUGGGCGAAAGCCUGAUCCAGCAAUGCCGCGUGAGUGAUGAAGGCCUUAGGGUUGUAAAACUCUUUUACCCGGGAUGAUAAUGACAGUACCGGGAGAAUAAGCCCCGGCUAACUCCGUG